GGUAGUCCACGCCCUAAACGAUGUCAACUAGCUGUUGGGGCCUUCGGGCCUUGGUAGCGCAGCUAACGCGUGAAGUUGACCGCCUGGGGAGUACGGUCGCAAGAUUAAAACUCAAAGGAAUUGACGGGGACCCGCACAAGCGGUGGAUGAUGUGGAUUAAUUCGAUGCAACGCGAAAAACCUUACCUACCCUUGACAUGUCUGGAAUCCCAAAGAGAUUAGGGAGUGCUCGCAAGAGAACCGGAACACAGGUGCUGCAUGGCUGUCGUCAGCUCGUGUCGUGAGAUGUUGGGUUAAGUCCCGCAACGAGCGCAACCCUUGUCAUUAGUUGCUACGAAAGGGCACUCUAGUGAGACUGCCGGUGACAAACCGGAGGAAGGUGGGGAUGACGUCAAGUCCUCAUGGCCCUUAUGGGUAGGGCUUCACACGUCAUACAAUGGUCGGGACAGAGGGUCGCCAACCCGCGAGGGGGAGCCAAUCCCAGAAACCCGAUCGUAGUCCGGAUCGUAGUCUGCAACUCGACUACGUGAAGUCGGAAUCGCUAGUAAUCGCGGAUCAGAAUGUCGCGGUGAAUACGUUCCCGGGUCUUGUACACACCGCCCGUCACACCAUGGGAGUGGGUUCCACCAGAAGUAGUUAGCCUAACCGCAAGGAGGGCGAUUACCACGGUGGGGUUCAUGACUGGGGUGAAGUCGUAACAAGGUAGCCGUAUCGGAAGGUGC
This 721-nucleotide ribosomal RNA is filed under the name uncultured bacterium. Its description in RNAcentral is "bacterial SSU rRNA". It matches the Rfam family "Bacterial small subunit ribosomal RNA", at positions 789 to 1515 of the family's 1533-position model. The record is from RNAcentral.